RNAcentral lists this ribosomal RNA (492 nucleotides) under uncultured bacterium. Its description in RNAcentral is "partial 16S ribosomal RNA". It matches the Rfam family "Bacterial small subunit ribosomal RNA", at positions 29 to 507 of the family's 1533-position model. The record is from RNAcentral.
AGUGAACGCUGGCGGUAGGCCUAACACAUGCAAGUCGAACGGCAGCACAGUAAGCGCUUGCUCUUACGGGUGGCGAGUGGCGGACGGGUGAGGAAUACAUAGGAAUCUACUUUUUCGUGGGGGAUAACGUAGGGAAACUUCCGCUAAUACCGCAUACGUCCUACGGGUGAAAGCAGGGGAUCUUCGGACCUUGCGCGUUUGUUUGAGCUGAUGUCGCAUUAGCUAGUUGGCGGGGUAAAGGCCCACCAAGGCGACGAUACGUAGCUGGUCUGAGAGGAUGAUCAGCCACACUGGAACUGAGACACGGUCCAGACUCCUACGGGAGGCAGCAGUAGGGAAUAUUGGGCAAUGGGCGCAAGCCUGAUCCAGCAAUACCGCGUGAGUGAAGAAGGCCUUCGGGUUGUAAAGCCCUUUUAUUGGGAAAGAAAAGCAGCAUGUUAAAACCCCGCUGUUCUGACGGUACCCAAAGAAUAAGCACCGGCUAACUUCGUG